UUCCGUAGGUGAACCUGCGGAGGGAUCAUUACACAAUAAAAUACGAAGGCCGUUCGCGGCUGGACUAUUUAUUACCCUUGUCUUUUGCGCACUUGUUGUUUCCUGGGCGGGUUCGCUCGCCACCAGGACCACAAUAUAAACCUUUUUUAUGCAGUUGCAAUCAGCGUCAGUAUAACAAAUGUAAAUCAUUUACAACUUUCAACAACGGAUCUCUUGGUUCUGGCAUCGAUGAAGAACGCAGCGAAAUGCGAUACGUAGUGUGAAUUGCAGAAUUCAGUGAAUCAUCGAAUCUUUGAACGCACAUUGCGCCCUUUGGUAUUCCAAAGGGCAUGCCUGUUCGAGCGUCAUUUGUACCCUCAAGCUUUGCUUGGUGUUGGGCGUUUUUGUCCCCCCCAAAAAGGGGACUCGCCUUAAAAGGAUUGGCAGCCGGCCUACUGGUUUCGCAGCGCAGCACAUUUUUGCGCUUGCAAUCAGCAAAAGAGGACGGCAAUCCAUCAAGACUCCUUCUCACGUUUGACCUCGGAUCAGGUAGGGAUACCCGCUGAACUUAAGCAUAUCAAUAAGCGGAGGAAA
Molecule: ribosomal RNA, 573 nt
Filed under: Curvularia hawaiiensis
Lineage: Eukaryota; Fungi; Ascomycota; Dothideomycetes; Pleosporales; Pleosporaceae
Description: eukaryotic LSU rRNA
Rfam family: 5.8S ribosomal RNA (bases 194-347)
Source: RNAcentral